This is a long non-coding RNA of Ornithodoros turicata, 887 nucleotides long. RefSeq lists it as uncharacterized. The record is from RefSeq and is a predicted model, not a curated record. Lineage: Eukaryota; Metazoa; Arthropoda; Arachnida; Ixodida; Argasidae. The transcript is spliced from 3 exons.
GUGAGGGGUCGCGUGAUGUCGUCGUUCCUGUUCUGGGUGUUUCGGCGUGGCAUUGGUGGCUCGGACUGUUCUGACUGUGUGUUUGUGCCUUGCUAGUGACGUCUGGACAUGUUUCUCUGUUUGUACGCCUUGGAAGAUACGACCAGAAGCUGUUGGAUUUCGUGAAUGGAAGACGCUUUUGACAGGUUUGUUUCUGUGCACAAGACAAAUGGGCUGUCGUACUCCCGACGUAGGAAAUGAACACACGUCGCUGAGAUCUUAUAAGACAAAUGUCUCUGGAUGAAGUUCUGGGAGCGCAGCAGUAUGUGGCAACUAUGGGACUUGGCGGCUCCAUCAGCCCUCUGGUCAUUGAAAUUAUACAAGUCUAUAGGAAAGGAAGCGCACUGGGCCACUCUAUCGUCUUCCAGUGGAUCCCGGGUCAUGUGGGCAUCAAUGGAAACGAGGACGCAGAUCGAACAGCCGCAGGCGCGCAUCAGUACACCCCGUGUAUCCUCAUCAUCUUGUCCGGGGGAACCGCCGUUACCUCGUCUCAAGCCUUACCGGGCCCAAGAUGCACUCUCAAUGGCAACACGACAUCACCACCCACUCUCUGCUUUACUCCGUAGAGCCCACAUUGUUCCUUACUCUCCCGCGCCGAAUGUCACCCAGUCAACACACUAUUGUAAAUUCGACGUAGAAAAAACGUUGUAUAUCAACGAAAUGAAUGUUGAAUCGACGAUGAAAGCGAACGUGAAAUCAUGAUGUCAAAUGUCCGCUCGAAAACAUGUUAAUUUAACAAGUGCCGAUCAACGUAAAUUUAACGUAUAUGAAAUGCAGUUUAUAUGUGAAUACAACGUACCAGACUGUACGACAUGAGAGCAUAAAAUAAACAGCGCUUUACAACGUUU